This is a long non-coding RNA of Patella vulgata (common limpet), 856 nucleotides long. RefSeq lists it as uncharacterized. The transcript has 3 exons. Lineage: Eukaryota; Metazoa; Mollusca; Gastropoda; Patellidae. The record is from RefSeq and is a predicted model, not a curated record.
GGUUGAUCAUCAGUCGAUCGACAAAACUCUACUGAUUCUACAAGAACUAUGGAGGUUUUCAUUGUGGUACUUCUUGCUCUGGUGGCUUGCUGCCAUUCCGCACAGGUGACUAACAUUCACCCACCAGAUGAGUUCCAGUUAAUCGACUGUAAUAGAUGGACGGAAUUUUUUAACCAGGACAGCCCUAACGCCACUGGUGAUGACGAAACAUUAACUAGACUUCGAAUAGGAAGAAAUGGACGCACUAUCUGUGCCAAUCCAUCCACAAUGGAAUAUCAAACCGUUUCUGGAGACGAUUGUAUUAACAACGGGGAACUCCUGAAAUAUGGUCCCGAUUAUGGCCUGCUCUGUCUGAAUGCUCAACAGCCUGAUCAAAAAUGUAAUGAUUACAAAGUUCGAUUCUGCUGCAAGGACAGACGAGUUCGGUGCCCACAGGGAUACCAGUGGACACGCUACUUCGACGCCGACGAUCCAACAGGCACUGGAGAUUGGGAGACGUUAAAAAACUUGCGAUCCCAUAAUCCAAUAUGCCAAUAUCCGAUCGCCAUUGAUGCCCGAGUUAAUGCCACUGGGCGCAAAUACUUUACCACUGGUGAGAGGGUGACUGUCUCUCCAUCGUACGGCUUUGUCUGCAGAAAUAAAAACCAGGCCGACCUGUGCUGCGAAGAUUACAAAGUCCGAUUCUGUUGUCCUUGUGAUAAAUAAAUAUCUAAAUGGAUAACAUGUUGGAAUGCUGAAACUGAGAAAGUCUCCCUUUUGAAAGACUCCCUUGUAAUAAAUACAAAUGGAUAAGACUAAAUAUUAAAUAUCUCACACUUAAUACAUGCCAAAUGUGCACCCAAAUUUAAUUCAAAUU